Mesocricetus auratus (golden hamster) is the source of this 113-nucleotide non-coding RNA. Lineage: Eukaryota; Metazoa; Chordata; Mammalia; Rodentia; Cricetidae. The record is from Rfam.
GGUUAUGGCCAUGCUACCUGAAGGUACCUGGUCUCAUAUGAUCUCUGAAGCUAAGCAGGGUCAGGCCUGGCUAGAACUUGGAUGGGAGACAACAGUAAUCCCAACCAUUCUUU